RNAcentral lists this ribosomal RNA (420 nucleotides) under Salmonella enterica subsp. enterica serovar Reading. RNAcentral describes it as "partial 23S ribosomal RNA". It matches the Rfam family "Bacterial large subunit ribosomal RNA", at positions 139 to 597 of the family's 2925-position model. The record is from RNAcentral. Lineage: Bacteria; Pseudomonadati; Pseudomonadota; Gammaproteobacteria; Enterobacterales; Enterobacteriaceae.
CUCGUCACACUAUCAUUAACUGAAUCCAUAGGUUAAUGAGGCGAACCGGGGGAACUGAAACAUCUAAGUACCCCGAGGAAAAGAAAUCAACCGAGAUUCCCCCAGUAGCGGCGAGCGAACGGGGAGGAGCCCAGAGCCUGAAUCAGCAUGUGUGUUAGUGGAAGCGUCUGGAAAGGCGCGCGAUACAGGGUGACAGCCCCGUACACAAAAGCGCAUGUGCUGUGAGCUCGAUGAGUAGGGCGGGACACGUGGUAUCCUGUCUGAAUAUGGGGGGACCAUCCUCCAAGGCUAAAUACUCCUGACUGACCGAUAGUGAACCAGUACCGUGAGGGAAAGGCGAAAAGAACCCCGGCGAGGGGAGUGAAAAAGAACCUGAAACCGUGUACGUACAAGCAGUGGGAGCACCCUUUGGGGUGUGAC